UGGGGAAUUUUGGACAAUGGGCGAAANCCUGAUCCAGCAAUGCCGCGUGUGUGAAGAAGGCCUUCGGGUUGUAAAGCACUUUUGUCCGGAAAGAAAUCCUUGGCUCUAAUACAGUCGGGGGAUGACGGUACCGGAAGAAUAAGCACCGGCUAACUACGUGCCAGCAGCCGCGGUAAUACGUAGGGUGCAAGCGUUAAUCGGAAUUACUGGGCGUAAAGCGUGCGCAGGCGGUUUNCUAGACCGAUGUGAAAUCCCCGGGCUCAACCUGGGAACUGCAUGGUGACUGGCAGGCUAGAGUAUGGCAGAGGGGGGUAGAAUUCCACGUGUAGCAGUGAAAUGCGUAGAGAUGUGGAGGAAUACCGAUGGCGAAGGCAGCCCCCUGGGCCAAUACUGACGCUCAUGCACGAAAGCGUGGGGAGCAAACAGGAUUAGAUACCCGUGGUAGUCCACGCCCUAAANGAUGUCAACUAGUUGUUGGGGAUUCAUUCCUUAGUAACGUAGCUAACGCGUGAAGUUGACCGCC
Molecule: ribosomal RNA, 523 nt
Filed under: uncultured bacterium
Lineage: Bacteria
Description: partial 16S ribosomal RNA
Rfam family: Bacterial small subunit ribosomal RNA
Source: RNAcentral